Molecule: ribosomal RNA, 306 nt
Filed under: Triticum aestivum (bread wheat)
Lineage: Eukaryota; Viridiplantae; Streptophyta; Magnoliopsida; Poales; Poaceae
Description: partial small subunit ribosomal RNA
Source: RNAcentral
AUGCAAAGUUCUGACUAUGAUUUCGCGUGCAACCACAGCGCCGUUGGCCGCGCUGCCUACCGAGUGCCACCCCGCCGCCUCCUCCCACCCCCCAUCUGGGACCUCACCGCCCGCUCCCCGCCCGGUACACCCACAACGCUUGAGUCUGAGCAGACGCCAUUGGCCCGUGGGCACAGAAGUAGAGUCCAGGAUGGUGAUGGUGCCAAGGAGGACUCUCGAACGCCGAUUGAUUGCAUCGUUGCUGCCGUACCCAUGGAGUGGCGCGGCUCCAACCACUCUGAGAUGGCCGCACAACAUUUUCUUUAG